UGGGGGAAUUUUUGGACAAUGGGCGAAAGCCUGAUCCAGCAAUGCCGCGUGUGUGAAGAAGGCCUUCGGGUUGUAAAGCACUUUUGUCCGGAAAGAAAUCCUUGGCUCUAAUACAGUCGGGGGGAUGACGGUACCGGAAGAAUAAGCACCGGCUAACUACGUGCCAGCAGCCGCGGUAAUACGUAGGGUGCAAGCGUUAAUCGGAAUUACUGGGCGUAAAGCGUGCGCAGGCGGUUUGCUAAGACCGAUGUGAAAUCCCCGGGCUCAACCUGGGAACUGCAUUGGUGACUGGCAGGCUAGAGUAUGGCAGAGGGGGGUAGAAUUCCACGUGUAGCAGUGAAAUGCGUAGAGAUGUGGAGGAAUACCGAUGGCGAAGGCAGCCCCCCUGGGCCAAUACUGACGCUCAUGCACGAAAAGCGUGGGGGAGCAAAACAGGAUUAGAUACCCCUGGUAGUCCACGCCCCUAAACGAUGUCAACUAGUUGUUGGGGAUUCAUUUCCUUAGUAACGUAGCUAACGCGUGAAGUUGACCGCCUGGGGAGUACGGUCGCAAGAUUAAAACUCAAAUGAAUUGACGACGGUCAUA
Molecule: ribosomal RNA, 585 nt
Filed under: uncultured bacterium
Lineage: Bacteria
Description: partial 16S ribosomal RNA
Rfam family: Bacterial small subunit ribosomal RNA
Source: RNAcentral